RNAcentral lists this long non-coding RNA (1090 nucleotides) under Aquila chrysaetos chrysaetos. Its description in RNAcentral is "lncRNA (ENSACCG00020009187.1)". Lineage: Eukaryota; Metazoa; Chordata; Aves; Accipitriformes; Accipitridae. The record is from RNAcentral.
GGAAGUGGUGCCAGGAAUAGCCCGGCAGAUCCGCCUGCAGCCCGGAGCGCUCCCUCCCGCCUCGGCCAGGGCGGGCUGCGGCUCCCGGGCCUCCGCCUCUCUCUCCCCCGUGCAACACCAGCCCCUCCGGCACUGUCAGGGUGACGGUGAUGAUCCUUUCCAAAAAGAGGGAGAGAAAUGACCUGCCUUAAGAUAAAUGCGUGAAGCGGGCGCCCCUUGGCCGCUGGAAUAUCUCUAUCUGUCUUUAUAUAUAAAGAAGCACCGCGAGCCACCUCACUCCAGGCAAGCCCUUAGCAAAGGAGCAACAAGAGCGCCCGGCGGGAUCAGCAACAACAACAACAACAAGGGCACCGGGAGGGCUUCCCUCCUUCCUCCUCGGUGACUUCCCAGUUCUGUCCUAAUAUGCUUACGGAGUCUGAAAAAUGCAACUCUAAUAUACAAGAAAUAUCAGCCUGCACACAAAAAAUUGUAAAGAAUAUCUCUGUUCUUAAAAAUGUGGGACCCUCUUCUGAUAUGUGAUCUACAGCAAGCUACUUUGAAUCGUACGAUGACAAUGUUAUCACUGCCACAUCUCUGGGAACCAGUUAUUCAUAAGUAUACGGUGGAAGAGAGAGUCAACAGCCAUAUUUGCUGGAGCGGUGAACCAAAUUGCCUUGACUGGAACCAUUACUCACUUGCACAUUUGACAGCAGCAGCCAGCUUGAGGAUCCUAGUUACAGUGAUCUGUUCAACUUCUCGGCCGUUCCGCCCCUUGCUUGGGUCUGCCAAAGGAAGGUGUCCCAUCUUCUCCACCAGAUUUCCGCUCGAGCUUUCCUGGGUAGAGCAGUGCCUCCACAGAUGCCGGUGCGUUACACAAGCUGGGGCGCAGAGAGGCCGAGACGAGGAUACGUGAUCAACAGAUGAAGCAGCAGAAUGUUAAUAAUACAAGACACCUAAUUGGACCUGCCCUUUCGCCCAGAAGUGAGGACAUAUGUCAGCACGCAGCAGGCGCCAGGCCUGUGGCAACCUGCUCCCACCUCCUACAGGUCUUCACGAGGAAAAAAUUGCAUUAUGAGCUGAGCUGCUUGCCUGCUGUAAUUGCCAAUAAAGC